Molecule: ribosomal RNA, 253 nt
Filed under: uncultured bacterium
Lineage: Bacteria
Description: partial 16S ribosomal RNA
Rfam family: Bacterial small subunit ribosomal RNA
Source: RNAcentral
UACGAAGGGGGCUAGCGUUGCUCGGAAUCACUGGGCGUAAAGCGCACGUAGGCGGAUUUCUAAGUCAGGGGUGAAAUCCUGGAGCUCAACUCCAGAACUGCCUUUGAUACUGGAGAUCUCGAGUCCGGAAGAGGUGAGUGGAACUGCGAGUGUAGAGGUGAAAUUCGUAGAUAUUCGCAAGAACACCAGUGGCGAAGGCGGCUCACUGGUCCGGUACUGACGCUGAGGUGCGAAAGCGUGGGGAGCAAACAGG